UGGGGAAUAUUGGACAAUGGGGGAAACCCUGAUCCAGCAAUGCCGCGUGAAUGAUGAAGGCCUUAGGGUUGUAAAGUUCUUUCACCUGUGAAGAUAAUGACGGUAGCAGGAGAAGAAGCCCCGGCUAACUCCGUGCCAGCAGCCGCGGUAAGACGGAGGGGGCUAGCGUUGUUCGGAAUGACUGGGCGUAAAGGGCGCGUAGGCGGUUUUUUAAGUGAGGCGUGAAAGCCCUGGGCUUAACCCAGGAGGUGCGUUUCAUACUGGAAGACUUGAGUACGAGAGAGGAAAGCGGAAUUCCUAGUGUAGAGGUGAAAUUCGUAGAUAUUAGGAAGAACACCAGUGGCGAAGGCGGCUUUCUGGCUCGUAACUGACGCUGAGGCGCGAAAGCGUGGGGAGCAAACAGGAUUAGAUACCCCUGUAGUCC
This 424-nucleotide ribosomal RNA is filed under the name uncultured bacterium. RNAcentral describes it as "bacterial SSU rRNA". It matches the Rfam family "Bacterial small subunit ribosomal RNA", at positions 355 to 796 of the family's 1533-position model. The record is from RNAcentral.